This 577-nucleotide long non-coding RNA is filed under the name Gallus gallus (chicken). Lineage: Eukaryota; Metazoa; Chordata; Aves; Galliformes; Phasianidae. The record is from RNAcentral.
CUCAGCUCUAGCUCAAUGGUGUCCUGCAAAUCGGGUGCGCCACGGGGGAAGAGGUGGCCGGGCAGGGCCAGGUAGGAGCCCUCACGGAACAUGGCGCUGAACUGCCCCGGGGUGUCGCUGCCACCGCUGCCCUCCUGCCAGUCCUGGUCCAGCUCUGACAGCGCCGCACCGUGCUGGCAGUAGGGGCCAGCGUAACCCUUGGGGCAGAUGCAGCCGUUGUCCUUGCAGGUGCCACCGUGCAGGCAGGGGUUGUGCUCCAGGCAUCGGUCAGCCGCCCGCUCGCAGCGCGGCCCGCUGAAGCCGGGGGUGCAGAGGCAGCGGAAGGGCGGGCUGCUGGCGGGCAGGGGCAGACAGCGGCCGCCGUGCAGGCAGGGUGCGUGAAGGCAGGGUGAGCUCUGCCCACACUGCCCCACACCCCGGCUGCGCAGGAAGCUGUAUGACAGAUCCACCUUCUUCCCGUUGAUGGAGACCUCACCGAUGCACCCCUGGAAGGAGGCGUUGGUGGGGGGCCUCAGGGGGGGCUCCACUCCCCCGAGGUAGAGAGGGCUGCGCAGGUUGAGCCCCUGGCUCUUGCCAG